UAGCUGCCUCCUGUUGCAUGGUUAUGGGCCCGGGCCCUGGUCUCGAGACUCAACCCAAUUCAGCAUCUGACUGUUGGAGCAACCCGUGUUCACAGAACUCGAACUACUUGCCCCGUAAUCCAUAUCACCAAGCCUUCAACUCCAGAUAAGAGGUACCUAGCUGCAGCAGGUGGCUACUUUUGAGAGAACUACACUACCCAUAGGUGUAGAAAGCACUAUUUGGUUUGUUACCAAAAUUGAAAUGCACAAGUUGAAAUUGAGGUACCAUGCUGCUGCAGAUUAUCAAUUAUGAUUUUUACACAUCCAACAAUGUGAUGGCCAUGGGAUUCCAAAUGGAAAAUGGAUGUAUUCAGUUUUGAAGAUGGAACUGUUAAGAUUUGGGAUUUAGUGUCAGUGAAUGUUCAUGUUAGUUUGGUAAAAAAGGCUUAUAUUAUCCACAUUUCUGAAUUUGAUCCUGUUAAUUAAAAUGGAUAUUAGGACACCCGGUAGCUAGAGAGAAUACGAAAGUGUGUUAAGGUUGCAUGAUAUAACUGUUUGUCCAUGUGCUAUUAAACUGAUUAUAACAACUUAUAGUUAGAAUAAGUUCAAUUAUCAGUUUGUAAUGUUUGGGUUAAGUUUCUUAGCAUGGAGUUUAGUAAGCUAUUCCAAUUACU
Erigeron canadensis is the source of this 653-nucleotide long non-coding RNA. RefSeq lists it as uncharacterized. NCBI's taxonomy places the organism in Eukaryota, Viridiplantae, Streptophyta, Magnoliopsida, Asterales, Asteraceae. The record is from RefSeq and is a predicted model, not a curated record. The transcript is spliced from 3 exons.